Molecule: ribosomal RNA, 261 nt
Filed under: uncultured bacterium
Lineage: Bacteria
Description: partial 16S ribosomal RNA
Rfam family: Bacterial small subunit ribosomal RNA
Source: RNAcentral
UUAGGCGGACGGGUGAGUAACGCGUGGGUAACCGUGCCGUAUACAGGGGGAUAACACUUAGAAAUAGGUGCUAAAACCGCAUAAGCGCACAGCGCCGCAUGGCGCAGUGUGAAAAACUCCGGUGGUAUACGAUGGACCCGCGUCUGAUUAGCCAGUUGGCAGGGUAACGGCCUACCAAAGCGACGAUCAGUAGCCGGCCUGAGAGGGUGGACGGCCACAUUGGGACUGAGACACGGCCCAAACUCCUACGGAAGGCAGCAG